AGUAACACGUGGGUAACCUGCCCAGAAGCAGGGGAUAACACCUGGAAACAGAUGCUAAUACCGUAUAACAGAGAAAACCGCCUGGUUUUCUUCUAAAAGAUGGCUCUGCUAUCACUUCUGGAUGGACCCGCGGCGCAUUAGCUAGUUGGUGAGGUAACGGCUCACCAAGGCGAUGAUGCGUAGCCGACCUGAGAGGGUAAUCGGCCACAUUGGGACUGAGACACGGCCCAG
This 231-nucleotide ribosomal RNA is filed under the name uncultured Lactobacillaceae bacterium. RNAcentral's name for it is "partial 16S ribosomal RNA". It matches the Rfam family "Bacterial small subunit ribosomal RNA", at positions 109 to 334 of the family's 1533-position model. Lineage: Bacteria; Bacillati; Bacillota; Bacilli; Lactobacillales; Lactobacillaceae. The record is from RNAcentral.